Molecule: non-coding RNA, 30 nt
Filed under: Rattus norvegicus (Norway rat)
Lineage: Eukaryota; Metazoa; Chordata; Mammalia; Rodentia; Muridae
Source: RNAcentral
UUUUGUUUAAUAAAAUGACUGGUCUAGAUC